UCAUUCCUACGGGGCGCAGCAGUGGGGAAUAUUGGACAAUGGGGGGAACCCUGAUCCAGCGACGCCGCGUGAGUGAAGAAGUAUUUCGGUAUGUAAAGCUCUAUCAGCAGGGAAGAAAGAAAUGACGGUACCUGACUAAGAAGCCCCGGCUAACUACGUGCCAGCAGCCGCGGUAAUACGUAGGGGGCAAGCGUUAUCCGGAUUUACUGGGUGUAAAGGGAGCGUAGACGGUUACGCAAGUCUGGAGUGAGAGGCGGG
This 258-nucleotide ribosomal RNA is filed under the name uncultured bacterium. RNAcentral describes it as "partial 16S ribosomal RNA". It matches the Rfam family "Bacterial small subunit ribosomal RNA", at positions 333 to 605 of the family's 1533-position model. The record is from RNAcentral.